Pantherophis guttatus is the source of this 1779-nucleotide non-coding RNA. The record is from RefSeq and is a predicted model, not a curated record. NCBI's taxonomy places the organism in Eukaryota, Metazoa, Chordata, Lepidosauria, Squamata, Colubridae.
UGAUUAAAAUUUCCAAGAUGGCCUCUUGAUCCUAUUAUUUGCCUACAUGUACCUUAUUUCUUGGUUGCAUGUUAUUGCAGUGAUUUUGACCUGACUUCAAUCUUAUCAGUCACAAAAUAGACUGCACAGCUUUUGAUAGACUAUGACUGUUUUUAAAGUCACCAUUUGAUGGAUUUUAUCCCUGAAACAGCGUAAAAGGCACAUGAUUUCUGCCUUACUCCUAGGUAUAUUUUGGCUUGAUGGAACUGGAAAUGAAUGUGGGACUCUGUACAGUAUUCUGCAAUACUAGUUACACUUAUGCCAAUCCCUUUUGCAACAUUGCAGCUAAAUAUACCAAUCUGAUUGUAUGGAGUGGGCUUGGAUCAUAGAUUGGUUAGUUGUCAAUGGUUCAUUCAGUGGUGGGUUGCCCUCAAUUCAGACCAGUUUGCAAAAACCAGUAGUAAAACCCGUGGGAGGCUCUGCCCACUGACCCAGACGUCAUCAUAGGUGAUCUGCGCACGCGCAAUGCAAACCAGUAGUAAAGGUUUGGGAGAAAUGGGGAGAGCAACUGUGAGGGACAAGAAAGGAAGUCUGAGAAAACAGUGAGAACAUCCUACACUUCUUCCUUUGCUUCAGAGGAAACCAUAUGAUUUGUGGCUUGUGUUUGGCAACUCAAGGCAGAAGAUGAGAAGGGCUUCCCUGUAUUUCUUAUUGGAACAUUCCAAUUGAGAAUGCCCAUUGGCAGUGUCUGCGUGGGAUACAGGUCACAAAAGGCAAGAUAGUAGAAGUCCUGUCUUCCCCCUUCUGUGCCCAUUAAUUUAAACUGUAUUGAAGCUGGAGACCUUUUCUAAGAAAUGGGACCUAUGGACCAACUCUAUUAGCCUCGUCAGUGCUAGAUCAGCAGCAAAGCUAUCUUUCUCCAAUUUCACUCCCUACAGUUGUAUCAGAAUCACGACUCCUAGUACUUCUAGCCAGCAUGAAUACAAUUCUGGAAAUUGUAUUCCCUCUACAUUAGGAGAGCUCUCUGGGCCAUUAGUGUGAUUGUAAUAAAUAUUUAGCUCAGGAAAUUGCAAACCAAAAUAUAGAGAACAGAAUGGGAAGGGAACCCAGUCAGCAGCCUGUUGAUGUAUCUUUUAUUUUUUCCCCAAUGCUGAUCCCUUGAUUUUUGGGGGGAGGCAGAGGGAGAAAUAAAUUUUGAUUUCUUUUUGGGAGACAUUAAAACAAUAUUCCUGUGUUUUGUGUAUUACUUUUUGUAUUGCCUUUUUUUUUCCAUUUUUGCUGGUCUCAGUCGUGUGUCUUAACAAUAUUUUGAUAUGUAGUAACAAGAGGAAAGCUUUAUCACUUGACUUUAGCUCUAUAUUCAGAAAAGCAAAAUCAGCUAUAUUUCUGGGUGCUUGACUGCUAUACUAAAGGCAUAGGAAUGUUGAUGGUUAAAAAAAAGAUGGAUAUAAUCAAGCAAUUGUGUUCAGUGAGGCUUGUAGAGGACAUUCUGAUGGAUCAUGCUCCGUAAGUCUCAGAUCUGCUUGUCUUGCAGUCCACCACCCAUAAUUGCUUCAAAAAUCAGAUUCAUCUCCAGCUGCAGUACAGCCACCUCUAGCUGUGGCUAUUAAAAAUUCACUCUUGCCAACUGCUGCCAUGCUGAGAAUUUGAGUCCUUUACUAUUAUUAUUUUUUCACAUUUCAGUAAGCCUUUUGAAACUGAAUUGUAGACCAAAGCUAUGUGGCCAUGUUAUUCAUUUCUGUUGAGUUCCUGAUUUAACAAACAAACAGACAAAUAAAUUGUCAUUCAAAAACUGUGCAA